This 114-nucleotide transfer RNA is filed under the name Xanthomonas arboricola. RNAcentral's name for it is "tRNA-OTHER". Lineage: Bacteria; Pseudomonadati; Pseudomonadota; Gammaproteobacteria; Lysobacterales; Lysobacteraceae. The record is from RNAcentral.
GGCUUCAGAGCGCGCUUUCGGGAAAAUUAUUGUCAUUAAGCAUUUGAUUUUAAAUGAAAAUAGUGUAGACUCUUAAUCAAUAGGUCCAAGGUUCGAAUCCUUGACGGCCCACCA